Athene cunicularia (burrowing owl) is the source of this 1346-nucleotide long non-coding RNA. RefSeq lists it as uncharacterized. The transcript is spliced from 3 exons. NCBI's taxonomy places the organism in Eukaryota, Metazoa, Chordata, Aves, Strigiformes, Strigidae. The record is from RefSeq and is a predicted model, not a curated record.
CCAACCAUCCUGGUGUGAGCAGAAGGCUCCCGUGGUCCCAUCCAAGCAGCACAUCUAUCAGACUGCGAAAGUAGGUGCUAUCCCACUCAGCCCCUCAGUCUUUCUCCCGGUUUUAGCCUUGUGUUCCUGCACAUCUGAACAUAUAUCAUAAAUGCUCUAUGGCUGGUCUCUUCUUACUAUUCACACUGAGCAAAAAAAAUAGAUGCUGAGGGGGGUAUGUGGUACUGCAAUUAAGAGCAGGUUUUGCUUAAAAAAAAAAAAAAAGGCAAAUUUAUUUACAAAUUUAUUUAUUCUAUCAGCAUUGGAAAGGUUAGAUAUCUGGCAAAUGUUUUUUUCUGAUAUUAGAUUUGCUUUUAGAAAAUUAAGAUCCCCUGGUAGGUGACAUACAGGAAUUUGUGUAUGUGUGUGAUUUGCUUGGAAUUGUUGCAGCAAAUUCUCAAAUAUGGAACAGCCAGAAAAAUGUCUUUUUUUUUUUUUAUAGGCACUCCUACACUAAUUUAAAAAUAGUAAACUGGAGCAAGGUAAGUAUCACAGAGCCUGAUGUGGAAAAAGUACAUUGAUAGAAAAUAAGGAAUAGCAUAUGUGAUGAAGACUGACAUUGCAAAUGAAAAAUAAAGAGAGAAAAAAAUAACACAAAAUAACAUAAGAUGCAAAGUGAUUAGGGACACCGAGAGAGAGACAGAAACAAAAAGUUGGUGACAGAUGAGGUUGAUAAGGCAAAGGGCCUAAAGGAAUUCCUCGCCCCAGUAAUCACAGAGGCAGCAGAAGGCAACAUCCCAGGAACCGGGAUUUGUUUUCCUCAGGGAAGGAAGGAAAAUGUCAAAAGGUUUUACCCUUGCACUGGAGUGGAUAAUAAGGCAAUUAGUACUAUUAAAAGUUGUCAGUGCACCCAGACUGGAGUGAUAAAUCACUUCCUAGGAUUGUAACAGGAGAGGGAGAUGCUGGAAAGCUUUUAUGGAGCGAUUGUUAAAACUUACUGGAAGGGGAAUUAUUGAGAACGGGUGGGUGUUUAAUGAAGUUUACACCAAGAAAUGAGAGGGAGAACUGCAAUCCCAUCACUUACAGAUCUGUAAGCUUGACUUCACUUCUGCAAGAGAAACUAGCUACUACUGAAAAGAUUAAUCUGGAAAAUGGAGGAUGGAAGGAGAGGGAGGAAUUGAUCAGUCAUGCAGCCUCAACUGAUGGCGUACCCUCAAGGCAACUUGCAAGACUUGGAGAAAUGCCGACAAAAUUUUCCUAGGCAGAAGGAAACAGACUGGUUCAUUUUACUAGCGUGGCUGCAUCUCAAACCAGCCCACAUAAGGAGGGUGAAGAGGAACCGAACAGUUACUCCAUACUGCAGAUCU